This 505-nucleotide ribosomal RNA is filed under the name uncultured bacterium. RNAcentral's name for it is "partial 16S ribosomal RNA". It matches the Rfam family "Bacterial small subunit ribosomal RNA", at positions 28 to 507 of the family's 1533-position model. The record is from RNAcentral.
GACGAACGCUGGCGGCGUGCCUAAUACAUGCAAGUAGAACGCACAGUUUAUACCGUAGCUUGCUACACCAUAGACUGUGAGUUGCGAACGGGUUAGUAACGCGUAGGUAACCUGCCUGGUAGCGGGGGAUAACUAUUGGAAACGAUAGCUAAUACCGCAUAAUAUUGAUUAUUGCAUGAUAAUUGAUUGAAAUAUGCUAUUGCAUCACUACCAGAUGGACCUGCGUUGUAUUAGCUAGUAGGUGAGGUAACGGCUCACCUAGGCGACGAUACAUAGCCGACCGGAGAGGGUGAUCGGCCACACUGGGACUGAGACACGGCCCAGACUCCUACGGGAGGCAGCAGUAGGGAAUCUUCGGCAAUGGACGAAAGUCUGACCGAGCAACGCCGCGUGAGUGAAGAAGGUUUUCGGAUCGUAAAGCUCUGUUGUAAGAGAAGAACGGGUGUGAGAGUGGAAAGUUCACACUGUGACGGUAUCUUACCAGAAAGGGACGGCUAACUACGUG